RNAcentral lists this long non-coding RNA (1295 nucleotides) under Homo sapiens (human). Its description in RNAcentral is "long intergenic non-protein coding RNA 710". The record is from RNAcentral. Lineage: Eukaryota; Metazoa; Chordata; Mammalia; Primates; Hominidae.
AGAUCGUACAACCAACGUGGUAAUGCUGGCAUAAUAAUUCCCGGUUGCCAUUUUCUGACAUUUGAAAAGAUCUGAAGAUACGCCCCUUGGAUGCCUGCAGAGAAGCUCUGGGGCUUCAGUCAAUGACUCAGGGUAGCCACCGAACAUGAUGCUCGGGCAGUGGGUGCCACCUGGACUCCACUCUCCCCUCUCUCUGGGAUCAUAGAGUCCAAGGUGUUCUGUGGCCUCUCGGCCAAUCCCAGCAGCUCAGCGUGCAGAAGACCGAGGAGCCAUUGGAAAAGAAAAAGAGAACAUAUAUCCCCCUACCUUUUGAUUUCCAACAGUCUACUGAGAGGCCAAGAUUAUUUGCAGGGAAAGAAAAGGGGAAUGCCAUCCCCACCCUCUCGCAGCUACGUGCCAGUUCCAGAGCACCUGUUCCCCUCUACUUUGAAAAGGUCAAAAUGUUUUGCCAGUAACUCCCAAAUCAUCUACAGCCAAGGAGAAAAGUGUUUCAAGACAGAGGUGCUCAAUGGUAUCAAAUACUGCCAACAGACCAAGUAAUACAUGCAUUGAAGUGUCUACUGGAUCUAGCUAUAUGAAUUUUUAAUUUAGGACACUUAGGCCAUACUGAAGCAAGGUGACAAAAUGAAUAGCUACAAUGUCUCGUGAAUCUUGGGUUUCCAUUCACCCUGGUAUUCAAGAGAAAUUCUUGCAUCAUGGAAGUUGCAGUUGGAUAGGACUUUCUCAGCUGAACACUGUCAUCUGCCAGAGCUUCAGGCAAGAACCCAGAACAGAUGAAACCCCAGACAUGACAAAAUAAGCCAAAGAAUACCAGGCCAAGGUGUGAAAGGCCAGAUGAGAACAAGCAGCGUACACGAUUCUGUUGCCAACAGAUCUCCCCUAACAGUGUCGUGCACCAAAUUUCCACAGUGAAUGUCAGGAAAAAAUGGCAAUUGAGGUGGGUGGUCAAAAGAGAAGCACAGUCUAUGAUGAAGUCACCCCAGAGAAGUCCUUUUUCCGUUUUCUCCUGAGAAAUUACCAGAAGAAAUUAAAAUCCUUUUGAGUAUUGCAUUUAUCUCUGCAGUAACAUUAUUUUUUCUUAAGGAAUCUCUAUCAAAUUUGCAUCUUGUCUAAUUUAGCAGGGAAUGUCACCAGGAUAAGACAACUGCAAAACCCAUUUGGGUGUGCCAAAUGACUUCAACCGAACCUCCAUGCAAACAACAUACAAGAUGCUUUCUUACUAAAUGCUCAAACAUCAAGUUCUACAUCCAGAACUGCCCCUCAACCCUCACCCUCUCGAACUCAGUAAAAAACAA